Molecule: long non-coding RNA, 1487 nt
Organism: Trifolium pratense (red clover)
Lineage: Eukaryota; Viridiplantae; Streptophyta; Magnoliopsida; Fabales; Fabaceae
Exons: 2
Source: RefSeq, a predicted model, not a curated record
GUCCGGUUAAGGUGCAUAAGCUCAAGCUUAUGCACCGUCCAUAAGCCCAAAUCCAUUGCUACCCGCAACCCCAUCCAUUGCUACGCACACCCCCAUCCACGUACGCAACUUUCAUAUUCACAAAACAAUCUCUCGCUGUUGCGUUCGUUCAACCUUCCCCAUCGCCGUCGAGUUCACCGUCGAGUUAGUGUGUUUCAUCUUCAACAUCAUCAUUCAUCGUCGUUCAACAUUCAACCUUCAUUGUGUUUCAGAUUCAGAAACACAAUCUAUCGCCGUCGCGUUCUAUCAACCUUCGCCAUCGCCGUCGAGUUCGUGCGUUUCAUCUUCAACAUCAUCAUUCAACACUCAUCGUCGUUCAACAUUCAUCACCGAAAGGGACAACUUUAUUUUAUGUCUAAAAACUCAUUUAAUUUAUACUGUUAAAAUUUGAACAUAAUCAACUUGAGGCAUUAAUUAAUCAUCAAAUCGGUAUGUUAUUGAAUAUGAAUAUGGCUAUCACUUUGUACUUCUUAGUAUGCCAUGUGUUUGAUAAUAUGCCUCAGAGGCUUUUGUAUCGGUGUUUGACUCUUUUUUUCCUUGUUGGUGUUACAUUAUAUUAUAAAUAAGCCAAGCUUUUCUUAUGCAAUUUUGUUGACUAUUAUUUUAUUGUCUUCAAUUACUGAUUCACUAAAUUGGAAUAAUGGGUUAUUGUUUUUAAUUGCUCUUGCAUGAAAUUCCUAUAGAAGUUUGAUUUUUUGGUGAAAUAUCUUUCUGAUUAUUACAGUUGUGACUAAUUGGUGUGGCAUGCAUGAUAUCAGUGCAUCAGCUGAAGAGUGUUAGCAUAUUGGCUCAAUAUACACUUUGGAAAGCCGUUCUCAGAUGAGUAUGCUAAAGAAUCUGGGGGCAUGCAGACGCAGGAAUCGGCUCUAUGCUGCCGGUGCCAGAAACUACCUUAAAGUGUUGGGUUUUUCCUCUAUUCACACAGCUCCAAACUCCUCUGUUUACACUGAAACCAUUUACCAAGCGUAAUGGUUUCAGUGUAUAACUUGCUGAAACCAUAAAACCAUACUUAUGGUUUCAAUGUUUGUACACCUAGUCUGAAAUGACGAUGUUACAUAGCAUUUGAAUAUUGUAAAUCUGUGGGUUUGUUGACUUAAUCAUCAGUAGGCUUUAUUAUGAUUUAUGAAUGUAUUUUAUGAUACUUACAGUUUUACCAAUAGUGCAUACUUACAGUUUUGAAAAUGAUUUUAGUAGUUUAUACACUGAAACCAUUAGCAUUGGAAAAUGGCAAUGCCUUUCGACUUCAGCAAAUUUAAGUGGGAAACUCCCAAAAUGCCAACUCAACCAGACAAAGACAAUUGUGGAGUUUUCUGCAUGAAGUUCUUAGCUGAAUGGGAAGGUGACAGUAAGACUUCAAUGGACUCUUUCAAAGAUUGGAACAAACUCAAAAAGCAAGACAAAGUGGAAAAACUAAUGGAUUUGAGGAUUGGAAUAUGCUCCACAAUUUU